CGUAGGGUGCAAGCGUUGUCCGGAAUUAUUGGGCGUAAAGAGCUCGUAGGCGGUCUGUCGCGUCUGCUGUGAAAACUCGGGGCUUAACCCCGGGCCUGCAGUGGGUACGGGCAGACUAGAGUGCGGUAGGGGAGACUGGAAUUCCUGGUGUAGCGGUGAAAUGCGCAGAUAUCAGGAGGAACACCGGUGGCGAAGGCGGGUCUCUGGGCCGUAACUGACGCUGAGGAGCGAAAGCAUGGGGAGCGAACAGGAUUAGAUACCCUGGUAGUCCAUGCCGUAAACGUUGGGCGCUAGGUGUGGGGCUCUUUCCACGAGUUCCGUGCCGCAGCUAACGCAUUAAGCGCCCCGCCUGGGGAGUACGGCCGCAAGGCUA
RNAcentral lists this ribosomal RNA (373 nucleotides) under uncultured organism. Its description in RNAcentral is "bacterial SSU rRNA". It matches the Rfam family "Bacterial small subunit ribosomal RNA", at positions 526 to 896 of the family's 1533-position model. The record is from RNAcentral.